Molecule: transfer RNA, 71 nt
Filed under: bacterium
Lineage: Bacteria
Also listed under: 8 other names
Description: tRNA-Gln
Rfam family: tRNA
About the family: Transfer RNA (tRNA) molecules are approximately 80 nucleotides in length. Their secondary structure includes four short double-helical elements and three loops (D, anti-codon, and T loops).
Source: RNAcentral
UGCCCCCUCGUCCAAUGGCAGGACAUCGGACUUUGGAUCCGAGAAUGGUGGUUCGAAUCCACCGGGGGCAA